GGAGAGGUGUCCGAGUGGUUUAAGGAGCUAGUCUUGAAAACUAGUGAUCCUGCGAGGGACCAAGGGUUCGAAUCCCUUCCUCUCCGCCA
This 89-nucleotide transfer RNA is filed under the name Ruminococcus sp. RNAcentral's name for it is "tRNA-Ser". It matches the Rfam family "tRNA". Rfam says of the family: Transfer RNA (tRNA) molecules are approximately 80 nucleotides in length. Their secondary structure includes four short double-helical elements and three loops (D, anti-codon, and T loops). The record is from RNAcentral. Lineage: Bacteria; Bacillati; Bacillota; Clostridia; Eubacteriales; Oscillospiraceae. RNAcentral also lists the same sequence under 1 other name.